This 617-nucleotide ribosomal RNA is filed under the name Debaryomyces hansenii. Its description in RNAcentral is "eukaryotic LSU rRNA". It matches the Rfam family "Eukaryotic large subunit ribosomal RNA", at positions 37 to 668 of the family's 3401-position model. The record is from RNAcentral. Lineage: Eukaryota; Fungi; Ascomycota; Pichiomycetes; Serinales; Debaryomycetaceae.
UGCAUAUCAAUAAGCGGAGGAAAAGAAACCAACAGGGAUUGCCUUAGUAACGGCGAGUGAAGCGGCAAAAGCUCAAAUUUGAAAUCUGGCACCUUCGGUGUCCGAGUUGUAAUUUGAAGAAGGUAACUUUGGAGUUGGCUCUUGUCUAUGUUCCUUGGAACAGGACGUCACAGAGGGUGAGAAUCCCGUGCGAUGAGAUGCCCAAUUCUAUGUAAAGUGCUUUCGAAGAGUCGAGUUGUUUGGGAAUGCAGCUCUAAGUGGGUGGUAAAUUCCAUCUAAAGCUAAAUAUUGGCGAGAGACCGAUAGCGAACAAGUACAGUGAUGGAAAGAUGAAAAGAACUUUGAAAAGAGAGUGAAAAAGUACGUGAAAUUGUUGAAAGGGAAGGGCUUGAGAUCAGACUUGGUAUUUUGCGAUCCUUUCCUUCUUGGUUGGGUUCCUCGCAGCUUACUGGGCCAGCAUCGGUUUGGAUGGUAGGAUAAUGACUAAGGAAUGUGGCUCUACUUCGGUGGAGUGUUAUAGCCUUGGUUGAUACUGCCUGUCUAGACCGAGGACUGCGUCUUUUGACUAGGAUGUUGGCAUAAUGAUCUUAAGCCACCCGUCUUGAAACCACGGACCA